AGGAGGGACUGAGGGAACACAGAGGAAAGAGGGAUUUCUACAAAAAUAGACAUAGAAAUAACCGAUAAGUUUAUGAAAUAUUACCAGCCUCGUUAAACAUCAGGCAUGCUAAUUAAGGUGGCUGUUCCUUUGAUGAGCACUACAGCAAUUGUGGUUAUAGUGUGGCUCUGGGGACCAAUGGGUUCGCCUGGGAGCAGAUUAACACAUG
This 208-nucleotide small RNA is filed under the name Pan troglodytes (chimpanzee). RNAcentral describes it as "processed transcript". Lineage: Eukaryota; Metazoa; Chordata; Mammalia; Primates; Hominidae. The record is from RNAcentral.